This 1300-nucleotide ribosomal RNA is filed under the name Escherichia coli. RNAcentral's name for it is "partial 23S ribosomal RNA". It matches the Rfam family "Bacterial large subunit ribosomal RNA", at positions 1 to 1342 of the family's 2925-position model. The record is from RNAcentral. Lineage: Bacteria; Pseudomonadati; Pseudomonadota; Gammaproteobacteria; Enterobacterales; Enterobacteriaceae.
GGUUAAGCGACUAAGCGUACACGGUGGAUGCCCUGGCAGUCAGAGGCGAUGAAGGACGUGCUAAUCUGCGAUAAGCGUCGGUGAGGUGAUAUGAACCGUUAUAACCGGCGAUUUCCGAAUGGGGAAACCCAGUGUGUUUCGACACACUAUCAUUAACUGAAUCCAUAGGUUAAUGAGGCGAACCGGGGGAACUGAAACAUCUAAGUACCCCGAGGAAAAGAAAUCAACCGAGAUUCCCCCAGUAGCGGCGAGCGAACGGGGAGGAGCCCAGAGCCUGAAUCAGUGUGUGUGUUAGUGGAAGCGUCUGGAAAGGCGUGCGAUACAGGGUGACAGCCCCGUACACAAAAAUGCACAUAUUGUGAGCUCGAUGAGUAGGGCGGGACACGUGGUAUCCUGUCUGAAUAUGGGGGGACCAUCCUCCAAGGCUAAAUACUCCUGACUGACCGAUAGUGAACCAGUACCGUGAGGGAAAGGCGAAAAGAACCCCGGCGAGGGGAGUGAAAAAGAACCUGAAACCGUGUACGUACAAGCAGUGGGAGCCUCUUAAUGGGGUGACUGCGUACCUUUUGUAUAAUGGGUCAGCGACUUAUAUUCUGUAGCAAGGUUAACCGAAUAGGGGAGCCGAAGGGAAACCGAGUCUUAACUGGGCGUUAAGUUGCAGGGUAUAGACCCGAAACCCGGUGAUCUAGCCAUGGGCAGGUUGAAGGUUGGGUAACACUAACUGGAGGACCGAACCGACUAAUGUUGAAAAAUUAGCGGAUGACUUGUGGCUGGGGGUGAAAGGCCAAUCAAACCGGGAGAUAGCUGGUUCUCCCCGAAAGCUAUUUAGGUAGCGCCUCGUGAAUUCAUCUCCGGGGGUAGAGCACUGUUUCGGCAAGGGGGUCAUCCCGACUUACCAACCCGAUGCAAACUGCGAAUACCGGAGAAUGUUAUCACGGGAGACACACGGCGGGUGCUAACGUCCGUCGUGAAGAGGGAAACAACCCAGACCGCCAGCUAAGGUCCCAAAGUCAUGGUUAAGUGGGAAACGAUGUGGGAAGGCCCAGACAGCCAGGAUGUUGGCUUAGAAGCAGCCAUCAUUUAAAGAAAGCGUAAUAGCUCACUGGUCGAGUCGGCCUGCGCGGAAGAUGUAACGGGGCUAAACCAUGCACCGAAGCUGCGGCAGCGACACUAUGUGUUGUUGGGUAGGGGAGCGUUCUGUAAGCCUGUGAAGGUGGCCUGUGAGGGUUGCUGGAGGUAUCAGAAGUGCGAAUGCUGACAUAAGUAACGAUAAAGCGGGUGAAAAGCCCGCUCGCCGGAA